RNAcentral lists this transfer RNA (73 nucleotides) under Stegodyphus mimosarum. Its description in RNAcentral is "tRNA-Thr for anticodon CGU". It matches the Rfam family "tRNA". Rfam says of the family: Transfer RNA (tRNA) molecules are approximately 80 nucleotides in length. Their secondary structure includes four short double-helical elements and three loops (D, anti-codon, and T loops). The record is from Rfam by way of RNAcentral. Lineage: Eukaryota; Metazoa; Arthropoda; Arachnida; Araneae; Eresidae.
GCCUUCGUGGUGUAGUGGUCAGCACGCUCGACGCGUAACCGAGAGGUCCGUGGUUCGAUUCCAGGCGAAGGCA